Heterocephalus glaber (naked mole-rat) is the source of this 614-nucleotide long non-coding RNA. RefSeq lists it as uncharacterized. The record is from RefSeq and is a predicted model, not a curated record. NCBI's taxonomy places the organism in Eukaryota, Metazoa, Chordata, Mammalia, Rodentia, Bathyergidae.
CCGCUUCUUGGGCUGCGCGCAGUGCUCUACGUGGUUCGUGUCCGUAGACCCAAGGUCUUCCAGUUUGCUGUCCGCCGACGAACUGGGGCGGGAGGCCCUGGCAGUAGGCAAGCGCACCAGAGAGAGAUUUGGGGUGCAGGAAGUAAGACCUACGUAGAACCAGGAAGCAUGUAUACUGCCUUUUCCAGAACUGAGUAACUUUUCAUAAUUCGUAGUAAACUGAAAAGGAUGGAAGAGCGUGCCUUUCUAACUUAAAAGAAUACCAGACUGCGCACCACCCCAGGCAGUGUGGACAAACUGCUGGCAAGACCCAUUUCAUUGAUGGGAAACUAUUCUCCACUUGGCAGUGAGGGGUAGUUCAAGUCUGGGAUAAACUUGCACCUUCAUAAGCUGAUGGCAGGUUGGACACACAAAAUGUGCCAUUUCUGAGCCUCACCUAAAGAAGAGCCACUUCCUGUUCUUUGUUUGGAGCUCUGUAGACCCCUCACCAUCUCUAUGAAGACAGAACCAACACCUGCUUUCUUCAGUCCUCAGCCACCAGACCACAGGAGGGAGCCCAGCUAAGGUCAGAAUUUCCCCUUAGCCUAAGUUCCCCAGCCACAGAUUUUUAAAUG